Molecule: ribosomal RNA, 504 nt
Filed under: Bacillus mobilis
Lineage: Bacteria; Bacillati; Bacillota; Bacilli; Caryophanales; Bacillaceae
Description: bacterial SSU rRNA
Rfam family: Bacterial small subunit ribosomal RNA
Source: RNAcentral
GGAUUGAGAGCUUGCUCUCAAGAAGUUAGCGGCGGACGGGUGAGUAACACGUGGGUAACCUGCCCAUAAGACUGGGAUAACUCCGGGAAACCGGGGCUAAUACCGGAUAAUAUUUUGAACUGCAUGGUUCGAAAUUGAAAGGCGGCUUCGGCUGUCACUUAUGGAUGGACCCGCGUCGCAUUAGCUAGUUGGUGAGGUAACGGCUCACCAAGGCAACGAUGCGUAGCCGACCUGAGAGGGUGAUCGGCCACACUGGGACUGAGACACGGCCCAGACUCCUACGGGAGGCAGCAGUAGGGAAUCUUCCGCAAUGGACGAAAGUCUGACGGAGCAACGCCGCGUGAGUGAUGAAGGCUUUCGGGUCGUAAAACUCUGUUGUUAGGGAAGAACAAGUGCUAGUUGAAUAAGCUGGCACCUUGACGGUACCUAACCAGAAAGCCACGGCUAACUACGUGCCAGCAGCCGCGGUAAUACGUAGGUGGCAAGCGUUAUCCGGAAUUAUUG